UGCAAGGGGCGCUGACGCAAGUCGGCUGAGAUGUGCGCGUAUUGCCGCGCAAGUCCCUCGAACCUGAUCCGGAUAAUGCCGGCGUAGGAAUGCGGAAUA
This 99-nucleotide non-coding RNA is filed under the name pig gut metagenome. Its description in RNAcentral is "TPP riboswitch (THI element)". It matches the Rfam family "TPP riboswitch aptamer (THI element)", at positions 7 to 92 of the family's 105-position model. Rfam says of the family: Vitamin B(1) in its active form thiamin pyrophosphate (TPP) is an essential coenzyme that is synthesised by coupling of pyrimidine and thiazole moieties in bacteria. The previously detected thiamin-regulatory element, thi box was extended, resulting in a new, highly conserved RNA secondary structure, the THI element, which is widely distributed in eubacteria and also occurs in some archaea. The record is from RNAcentral.